This 490-nucleotide ribosomal RNA is filed under the name uncultured bacterium. RNAcentral's name for it is "bacterial SSU rRNA". It matches the Rfam family "Bacterial small subunit ribosomal RNA", at positions 79 to 542 of the family's 1533-position model. The record is from RNAcentral.
UCGGAACGUGAGUACAGUGGCGGACGGGUGAGUAACACGUGGGGAACCUGCCCUCAAGUCCGGAACAACCCGCCUAACGGCGGGCUAAUACCGAAUGUGGUUGUCAGUCCGCAUGGUAUGACAACUAAAGGUGGCCUCUCCUUGGAAGCUACCGCUUGUGGAUGGCCCCGCGCUCAAUUAGCUAGUUGGUAGGGUAACGGCCUACCAAGGCGACGAUUGAUAGCCGACCUGAGAGGGUGAUCGGCCACACUGGGAUUGAGAUAAGGCCCAGUCUCCUACGGGAGCCAGCAGUCUAGAAAUUUGGGCAAUGGGCGAAAGCCUGACCCACCGACGCCGCGUGGGGGAUGAAGCUUCUCGGAGUGUAAACCCCUGUUAGGUGGGACGAAAGCCCGUAUACGAAUAGUAGGCGGGUUUGACGGUACCACCAGAGGAAGCUCCGGCUAAACUCCGUGUCAGCAGCCGCGGUAAAUACGGGGGGGAGCAAAGCGUU